Molecule: long non-coding RNA, 2337 nt
Filed under: Ricinus communis (castor bean)
Lineage: Eukaryota; Viridiplantae; Streptophyta; Magnoliopsida; Malpighiales; Euphorbiaceae
Description: long non-coding RNA (RCOM_LNC003195)
Source: RNAcentral
UCUGCACAAGCACAAGACAAAACAGAAGGAAAUAACAUCUUAAACAAGAGUAUGCCGCAGUACUAUAACCACCACAGAAAGAUUAGAGAAUGUCAGAAUGGAAAUAUGCUGCACUGAACUGCCAUCGGAUUUGCAAUCCAGUGUUAAUGUUCAUCAGGGGUUAGUUCUGAAAAAAAACCCUUAGAAUCAUAUAUAUAAAAAAUAUAUUUAUGGAAAAAGUUUCUCUUUCAGCUUCUGGUGUUACUACUAUAUGAUGCCUCAUCUCUGUGUGUAAUAAAGUUCAGACGUUCAUAACAGUUAAUUCAAAAAUUGACGAGCAAAAACAGAGUGCAAAAGUUCAAAACACCAGUUUCUGUCCCUCGUGGUUAAUUGCAGUAAUAAACACCUUGGAUAUCUAUAACUCUCAGCAAGCUAGAGCUCAAUCUAAUGAAAAAUUCAACAAGUUAAAAUUUGAGUAAAUGUACAUUUGGUGUGAUAAACAAGUAGAAAAACCAUGGAGAUAACAAGAGAAACAAACAUAAAAAUGGAUGCAGGUAGCAGAAAACCAUGCAAAAGGUCCACCAGACUCUUUGAGAACCAUGUUCUAGUGAGUCAUAGCCUUCUCUUCCAUAAAUUAAUUCGCUGCCUGCCUGUUGCAGGCAACAAUUCAUAAUAAGUAGACCCUCGAAUGCCUCAAUGAGGUAAUAUUCAAGGGAAAUUUUGUUAAAGCUGAUUAGCUAGCUAGCAACAACUGCCAAAACUUAGGCUGUCCACAAAAUACAAAAACAUCAAAGAAGUAUAAAAUUAGAGUUUUAAUAGGAAGAUAAGUUGCAAAGAACAUAUAAAGGGAAGUAUAAAUUUAAGCGAGUUGGAUGGAAGAUAACAAGAAGUAGGAAAUGAAUGACUUACUAAAUCCAUCCAAAGAAGCAAGAACUAUUUCUCCUGCCAAUAGGCUAAAAAAUUUAGUUCCCACUUUAGAGUUCACGAUUGCACUUGUAAAAAAUCCAGAGACUUUCACAACCCCAGAAAGGAUUCCAAUGGCCACUUUCUCUGACAUGCUUGUCAAUCUCUUAACCCUAAAAACGUCACAAUGUAAGAUUUCAUCAGAACAAUACUUCAUAUUAUAGUACACAAAUUCAAAUAGACAUGCAAGUCUACUUAAUGUACAAAAUUUAACAUCUGGCCAAUAUAUUCCAUAAAGAAAUAAUUUAAGCCUAUUCCCUAACUUUUUCAUUUUUGCAGUGACAUAACUACUAAAGUUCUUUACCUAUCCUAAAACAAAGCUACAAUUAAAGUUUUUAAAAAAAAGGUUAAGCAUUAAGAAACAAUUUGGCAUCAAUAAAUCAGUAAUGAAUAUGAAGAAUUAAACCUUUUAACUCUCCUCAUAGCAUCAGGACUAAUCUCUGUAUCUGAUUUCUUCUCCACCCUCUUCAUCAAGAAUUCAUUACCCCACUUCAACCUAUCCACAGUAACAUCUCCACACCACAAUAUCCCCUUAAUCAACUGCCCUGACCCAGCAGCAAUCAUCCUAGCAACAGAACUACUAUAAUCUUCCACGUUAGGAGCCAAUACAGUCCAAUAUGCAGCAGAACUUUCCUCCAUCAAUUCUUUCUUCUUCUCUAACUCCUCCGGCAAAAUCCCUUUUGCAAUAUUCCCAUCUAUCAACUCCCAAUUCUCGGUCUCCCUCACUUCUUGCACCGUGAAAGAACUGUAACACUCCAAAAUUUUAUCAAAUUCUUUUAACAAACCCUCUUGUCCUUUCGAAGCAAUAGUGACUCCAUAAUUCAACAACUCCACUUCUUUACUCAAUUCAUCGUCAUUUUGAGGAACGCGAAGAGUAAAGAAGUAAUGGGACUCGUCAAGCUUAACAGAGGCCUCAUCUUAGCCAAAGNNNUACUGUGUCACCUUGUUUGAGACUAACAAUUGUAAGGUCACCGCAAGCGAGUUCUAUACUACGCUCUCUUUCAAUGAGAUGAACAAUUACCCCAGGGAUUUUGAUAAGAAGUUCUUCACGAGGUUCCUGUCGGUCUUCUGGGAAGACAUCUCGUGCGAGGUCUUUCAUGUCAAUAGAAGGGUAUAAAGAAGAAGAAGAAGCAGACGAUGAUGAUGAAGAAACGGCUUCUGGGUUUGAAAGAUCGACUUGUGGGUAGAGAGAACUGGAUUUGGUCAUUUUUGGGUUUUGCUUUAGUGCUUCGAAGAUUAAGUUUGGGGAGUAAGAACAACGGAUUUAAGAAAAGGGGUAACCUUAUGAUGGAAGGAAGGAGAAGGCGUGUCGGUUUGGAUUUUUAAAUUGAGAAAGAACGUGGCAGGAGAAUGAGUAGCCGCGUCAUAACCGUUUCUUUGUAUUCAGAGUUGCUC